This 274-nucleotide long non-coding RNA is filed under the name Sorghum bicolor (sorghum). Its description in RNAcentral is "long non-coding RNA (SBIC_LNC002084)". The record is from RNAcentral. Lineage: Eukaryota; Viridiplantae; Streptophyta; Magnoliopsida; Poales; Poaceae.
AGUUUAGUGAAGAGAGAUUUGGGCCGUGUUUAGUUCAGGCUUGAAAACAUUUCGCGACACUGUAGCAAUUUCGUUUGUUUUUGAUAAUUAUUGUUUAACUACGGACUAACUAGGCUCAAAAGAUUUAUCUCAUAAAUUUCGACUAAACUGUGCAAUUAGUUUUUAUUUUCGUCUAUAUUUAAUAUUUCAUGUAUGCGUCUAAAGAUUCGAUGUGACGGGAAAUCUUGAAAAAUUUUGAGUUUUUUGGUGAAAGUAAACAAGACCUUGAGUUGUU